GACAGAGGGUGCAAACGUUGUUCGGAAUUACUGGGCGUAAAGCGCGUGUAGGCGGCUAUGUAAGUCGGGCGUGAAAUCCCACGGCUCAACCGUGGAAGUGCACCCGAAACUGCGUAGCUAGAGUCCUGGAGAGGAAGGUGGAAUGCUUGGUGUAGAGGUGAAAUUCGUAGAUAUCAGGAGGAACACCUAUUGCGAAGGCAGCUCGCUGGGACGUAACUGACGCUGAGACGCGAAAGCGUGGGGAGCAAACAGG
This 253-nucleotide ribosomal RNA is filed under the name uncultured bacterium. RNAcentral describes it as "partial 16S ribosomal RNA". It matches the Rfam family "Bacterial small subunit ribosomal RNA", at positions 524 to 776 of the family's 1533-position model. The record is from RNAcentral.